RNAcentral lists this ribosomal RNA (507 nucleotides) under Nesophrosyne sp. 29 GMB-2012. RNAcentral's name for it is "partial 16S ribosomal RNA". The record is from RNAcentral. Lineage: Eukaryota; Metazoa; Arthropoda; Insecta; Hemiptera; Cicadellidae.
UAAGAAUUUAAAAGUCGAACAGACUUAUUUCUAAGAAGACUGCUUCUUGGAAUUUUCUUAAUUCAACAUCGAGGUCGCAAAAUACAAUAUAGAUAUGAACUCCCCAUCAAAAUUACGCUGUUAUCCCUAAGGUAACUUAAUCUUAUUUCCUAUCUAUAUUAUAAGGAUCUAAAAUUACAUAAAUAAAUGAAUUUUAAAACUAAAGUUAAAUAUUUAGUCACCACCCCAGCAAAAUAUAGACUUAAAAUUAAAAAUGUUAAUUAAUAAAACUUAGUAAUAUGAGCCUAUAUAAAGUUCUAUAGGGUCUUAUCGUCCCAAUAAAUUAAUAAAGCAUUUUAACUUUAAAUUUAAAUUUUAACAUUUAAAAAAAUAAAAUAUAAUUCUCAUACAUCCAUUCAUUCAAGCUUUCAAUUAAAAAACUAAUUACUAUGCUACCUUUGCACAGUCAAAAUACUGCAGCCAUUUAGAAAUUUUACCAUAGGGCAGAAGAUACUUUUUAAAAAAACA